This is a long non-coding RNA of Ictalurus punctatus (channel catfish), 1028 nucleotides long. NCBI's taxonomy places the organism in Eukaryota, Metazoa, Chordata, Actinopteri, Siluriformes, Ictaluridae. The record is from Ensembl.
AAAACAACUAAAACAGUCCUAGGAUUGUCUCUACACCUUACCCUCAUUAAACAUGCGGAGAUCUAUGAAUGCGCAUGAAUAUGCAAAUUAGAAGACGCCCCCUUUGGGGUCUCGCCAUCCCGAACGGUUUUAUAAAUUUUAGUCUCGACUUGCUUCGUCGUACGUACACUUGGGGAUUUAUUCAAGACCAGGUCCAAUCUUCCAAAUUGUUCAUGGUUACCAUAGCAACCAUGAUUUUCUUGAUCACUAGUGAACAUUAUCUUAGUUAGACAGGUUACUGCACAGUUUCCAGUUUUAAGGUUUAAUCACCACGUCAAUCCACUAAUACUUUGCAUAACAGCUGUGAUAAGUUCUUUUAAGCUGUUCAGGCUAUUCGAAUCAUUUUGUGACAUCACAAAACGAGCUCAUGUGUAACCCCGCCCCCGAGUCAGUUGUAUACAGACGCAUUGAGGAAGUGUUUUAGAUCAAUCAAAGUGACUCAAGCCAAUCGAUAUACAGUAAUAACUACUUAAUAUACCAGUACGUCUAUAAUCUCUAUAUAAAUCUACGUAAUCAGCUAUACGAGAAGACUUAAGGUUUGUAUACUAUACAGUAAUAUGCGGGUUAAUUUGAAAGCUAUAAUGAAAUGAAAGCUUGUCUGCAAUAACAGAAUGAACUUCACAGAAUUCUCAGAACACCUUGUUUGCUUGUGCUAUGAAUGAAAAAUGGGAUCAGGCACCAUUUCUAAGGUCCUGAUGUGUCUUGUAUCACCACUGCACAAAAUGUUCUCAUCCCAAUUUGGACCUGGUGAAUCUCUGGAAUGGAUGUAGUGCCUUCUCUGCUCGCUCGCUUUCUCUCUCUCUCUCUCUCUCUCUCUCGCACACACACACACAAUUUACAUAUAUUUUUACAUUUAUGGCAUUUGGCAGAUGCACUUAUCCAGCGCGACUUACAUUUAUCUAAUUUAUACAACUGAGCAAUUGAGGGUUAAGGGCCUUACCCAAGGGCCCAAGAGUGGUAGCUUGGCAGUGCUGGGGCUUGAACUCCUG